AGCUCCUCCUCGGUCGAUGGCAUCGUCGGAGCUGCUGCCGAGCGCGCCGCCGCCAAGCCGACGCGCGUGUACACGCGCUCCGAGCUGCUGAUGUUCUCGCGGUCGGCGGUGGCCCGGUACCCACCCAGGGGCUGGGCCGAGGUCCGGCAGCGACACCCCACCAUCACGCGGGCCACGCCCAAGGUGUUCGACCCGGAUGAGUUCUCGGCGCGGCCGGCGGCCGCGAUCUGCCGCCAGGGCUCGGCCGACUCGGCCAGUCGCUCCCCCACGCCGCCCUAGACGCCUGCUGUGUCGGCGGGUGGCCGUCCCGGUGCCAGCCUCGCCCCAGGCCUACUGAACCGAGCGCCCGCCCGCGGACGGAGAGCCGUGUCCAUCUUGUCGUUACCACUUCGCCAAAGAAAGCUGCUGCUCCUACUCAGAUGAAUCAAUAACGUAUCGCGUGUGUGGUCGUAGAGUUAGCGCCAGUCGUGUUGUCUCGGGGAACAGAUCUGAGUAAAGCUGGCUGUCCGAACCCUUCAGGUACGCCAUGUUCUAGUGCUUUCACAAGUGGAGCUAGACGUUCGCAGUGCUCCCACGCCUUUGUCGAACAAGACCAGAACAUGCAUGGAAUGCUGUUUUUGUGGCGUGCAACUUAUUACCAGGUGUGGGAAUCAUCGGUGUGAGCAAGCAACCAAUUUGCAAGCUAACGCAUUAAAUUGGCGUGUUUUUUUCUGUGGUUGUGAAAAGUGCAGCUAUGGAUGCAAUACUGAGCGGAGUUAAGCACCAGGUCUGUCAGCCUACCUUGCUAGCUCAGAAUUGUACAUUGAUGUCUCGAAGGAUAUGUGCAAAGUUGUCUCCUGUGUGCUUGAUGCUAUCUUGCUUCUUUGGUUCCUGCAAUUGGAUGCGCGUUGGACGUACGCUUCUUCGGCCUGCUUUGGUCAUUGGAUGACUUAUGUGAUCUGCUUUGAUCACUGGCCAGUUGCCCCUGGACGUUAUCCGCGUCUGAGGGGCCCGAUCAGCUGCAGGAAACCCGGCUUCCCUUUGCAAUCAUUGUGUUGGCGCUGAACGCCCUGUUGCAAUACACUGUACCGAAAUCCC
Molecule: long non-coding RNA, 1077 nt
Filed under: Pollicipes pollicipes
Lineage: Eukaryota; Metazoa; Arthropoda; Thecostraca; Pollicipedomorpha; Pollicipedidae
Description: uncharacterized LOC119090375
Source: RNAcentral